This 386-nucleotide ribosomal RNA is filed under the name uncultured bacterium. RNAcentral's name for it is "bacterial SSU rRNA". It matches the Rfam family "Bacterial small subunit ribosomal RNA", at positions 29 to 417 of the family's 1533-position model. The record is from RNAcentral.
AUUGAACGCUGGCGGCAUGCCUUACACAUGCAAGUCGAACGGUAACGCGGGGCAACCUGGCGACGAGUGGCGAACGGGUGAGUAAUAUAUCGGAACGUGCCCAAUAGUGGGGGAUAGCCCGGCGAAAGCCGGAUUAAUACCGCAUACGACCUGAGGGUGAAAGCGGGGGAUCGCAAGACCUCGCGCUAUUGGAGCGGCCGAUAUCAGAUUAGGUAGUUGGUGGGGUAAAAAGCUUACCAAGCCUACGAUCUGUAGCUGGUCUGAGAGGACGACCAGCCACACUGGGACUGAGACACGGCCCAGACUCCUACGGGAGGCAGCAGUGGGGAAUUUUGGACAAUGGGCGCAAGCCUGAUCCAGCCAUGCCGCGUGCGGGAAGAAGGCCU